Molecule: long non-coding RNA, 665 nt
Organism: Entelurus aequoreus (snake pipefish)
Lineage: Eukaryota; Metazoa; Chordata; Actinopteri; Syngnathiformes; Syngnathidae
Exons: 3
Source: RefSeq, a predicted model, not a curated record
CAAUUCCAGCUUCACCUCCACCUGUUCUGGCUUCCUCAUCCUCGCCAUCACCUACCCUGCUCACUGCUGUCAAGACUGGAGUGAUUCUCUGGUGUGGUGCGUGUCAUGUGACCUCUCGCCCCUCCCUGUCAUGUGAUCGCGCUGAGCCAAUCGAGUCUUCCUCAUUCAGAGGAGUGGGGGAGCCAGCCCACACCUGUGGACAGGUGUUUCUAUUUGGAACCAAUCCAUGGCGAGCAGGAACCGAGAGCUGGGGGCUACUGUGUCCACCUAAUAACUAGCAGAAACUACUGGUCUGGUAGGAAGGCUGCCACAGCCUGUCCCCCCCAUACACUCUAUUAACUCCGGUGCAUAAUCCCACUCACUCCUUCUAACAAUAACCCUUGGAUAUUCAAUACAACCUCACCACCAAACCCUCGUGGGCCGUUGCAUCAGUUCUGUACUCAGGACUGUACAUAUUUUCUGUUGUGUGACACAAGUUUUGUUGUUCAAUUCCAAUCCAACCAAUAACUUUUGAAGUGCACUUAUCAACCAAUCUCUAAAUGCAGUUGUAAAAAUGUUGGGUUUUUUAAAUGUUUUCCUUUUUCUGUUGUAAAUAUUUUGUUCUACACAAUACAUUUUACCUGCACCCAACUUAAUUUUCUGUUUUUGUGCAUUAGUGUUGUCCC